CCCUUAGAUGUUCUGGGCCGCACGCGCGCUACACUGAUGCAUUCAACGAGUUUCUUCCUGGUCCGAGAGGAAUGGGUAACCUUUUGAAAGUGCAUCGUGAUAGGGAUAGACUAUUGCAAUUAUUGGUCUUCAACGAGGAAUUCCUAGUAGACGUAGUUCAUCAGACUGCAUCGAUUACGUCCCUGCCCUUUGUACACACCGCCCGUCGCUCCUACCGAUUGAAUGCUCAGGUGAGCCAUUCGGACUUUCAUCAUGCUGGUUUCCAGUUCUGAUGAAGGAAAGUCUUGCGAACCUUAUCAUUUAGAGGAAGGAGAAGUCGUAACA
This 324-nucleotide ribosomal RNA is filed under the name uncultured eukaryote. RNAcentral's name for it is "partial 18S ribosomal RNA". It matches the Rfam family "Eukaryotic small subunit ribosomal RNA", at positions 1470 to 1796 of the family's 1831-position model. The record is from RNAcentral.